CCCUUAGAUGUUCUGGGCCGCACGCGCGCUACACUGAUGCACUCAACGAGUCUCCACCUUGACCGAAAGGUCUGGGAAACCUUCGAACUUGCAUCGUGAUGGGGAUAGAUUAUUGCAACUAUUAAUCUUCAACGAGGAAUACCUAGUAGGCGUGUGUCAUCAGCGCACGUCGAUUACGUCCCUGCCCUUUGUACACACCGCCCGUCGCACCUACCGAUUGAAUGGUCCGGUGAAAUCUCGGGACGGCGGCUUGGUCGCUUGCGUCCGACUGCUGAAACUUGAUUAAACCAUAUCAUUUAGAGGAAGGUGAAGUCGUAACA
RNAcentral lists this ribosomal RNA (320 nucleotides) under uncultured eukaryote. RNAcentral's name for it is "partial 18S ribosomal RNA". It matches the Rfam family "Eukaryotic small subunit ribosomal RNA", at positions 1470 to 1796 of the family's 1831-position model. The record is from RNAcentral.